This 9412-nucleotide long non-coding RNA is filed under the name Gossypium barbadense (sea-island cotton). RNAcentral describes it as "long non-coding RNA (GBAR_LNC021214)". The record is from RNAcentral. Lineage: Eukaryota; Viridiplantae; Streptophyta; Magnoliopsida; Malvales; Malvaceae.
GAAUGUGGUAAAAAAUAAAGCUAUGGGCCUAUGGACGAUAUGGAUAUGGGUGAAGUUAUGCUAGUAAUAAAUUAACAAAUAAACAAAGUUUCCCCCCAUGCUUCAUGACCCAUGGCAAUUACCAAUGAAGUUCUUGUAAUGAUCAUAUCAUUACUUUCAUGACUACUAGUUUGUAUGUGUUAUGUUUAUGUUUAAUAAAUUAUGGAGUGUUUUUAUGUUGAAAAAUAUCAAGUACUACUUUGAUUGUGAUAGGUUUAUAUGUUUAUGUUUGAGGAAAUUAUUUCAAAAAUGAAAAUCACAUAAACCAUGAUUUGUACUCCGUUUCAAUUAUUGAUGUUGUAGAAACAAAUAACUUGGUCUGCAGUUGCUCAAAACAGUUUUGUUUUAUCUUCUGCCGGAACAAAAGUUGGAUAAAACUAGAAAGUUGGUGAGUCAAAGGGACAAGUAAAGGGAGAAUGAAUACACAAUAUUUGAGUUCAACUAUUUGCUAAAGCCCAAUUUUUACAAACCACUCCUCCCAAAUACUUUACAUUACAUACAAUAUCUCUCUAUAAAAGUCUAAACAAGGUGUGUCUAACACAUCCUUAAAAUAGCUAAAGAAUAAGUCAAUCAACAACCUAUUUACAGGCUCUCCUUCAACGUGAAUAUCGAUAGCUAGAAGAUGAGUCUUUAUUACAUGUUUAAAUGCUAAAAAUUAUCUUCAUAAGUUAUCUUAGAAAAAUAUUCAAAUAAAUCUCUCUAUAAAACAACCUUCCAUCAACUUGAAAACUCUUAAAAGAUAAAGGAUAAGGAUACUUCUUUCUUUCAUCUCCAAGGCUGUCGGUUGAACGAGGAUAAUUGCUCCAUAUUCUAUCAUGAAAUUAUCUCCUCGUUUGCUGGUUUAAAUCAGAUGUAAUCAAGGCUCUUUAUUGUCAAGAAUCCCAACCUGAAUGAACUUUCACUGAAAUAUGCACAUACUCUAAAAUAUGUCUAAAUAUUUGAUGAGACAAGAAAAGGUUCUAAAAUUGGUUUGAAUGGUCAAAUGCUCUAACAUAAAGCUUAAAAAUUUACAACAAAAUGACAUAAAAAAAAUAACAUUGAAAUUUGAUUUAUAAUAUUAGAAGUUUUGAAGAAGUGGUAAUUAAAUUAAUUAUUAGAAGUGGGAGAAUGAUGCUGGAGAAUCUGUCAAAUUUGAAACUUUUAGUAAGCUAUAAGGCACCAAAACUCCUACUUUUGCGUCGUUUUUAUUGUUAAAAAUUACUCACAAUUCUUUUAGGUAGCGUUUGAGAGUUAAAGGAUUUUAGAAUUUGGAUUUGAAUUUAAAAAAUAAUGCAAAUUGAGUACAUUUAUGUUUAUUUAAUCUAAGCUUUUGUUAGAAGCCUAUUUAUUAAUAAAUUUAAAAUCUUAAUUUUUUUUUGAAUUUGAUAAAUCCAUGCUUUUUUUUUUAAUAUAUAUUAGAUUGAAUUUUGACUAAUCUAUCUAUAAUAUAUGCGUUUCAUUCUUACUAGAGUUGUUCACGGGUCGGGACAUAACAAAAUUUUAGGUCCAAUUACUAGGCCUUGAUCUGACCCAAAAAAUGGGCUUAGAUUUUUCCUAAGUUGACUCGGAUAAAAAUGUAAAACUUGGACCCAGUCUGUAUUAAUUUUUUAAUUUAAUUUUUAUAUAAAUAAAUUUAAAAAUAUAAUACACCAAAUACAUUAAAAAUAUUAAAAUAAAAGUUUCCUAAGAAAUUUAAAAAAAAAUUAAAAAAAAAAGUCUUUAUACUUAAGUAACACUAAGAUAAGAGCAACUUAACAAGCAAAUGUUUCUAAAAUAGUAGCAAAAUUAACAAUAAAACAAGUAUUAUACAAUAUCCAAAUAUUAACAACAAAAUAAUAACAUAAUAGUGAAAUGGUAGCAAAACAGUGGGAAAAUAGCAGCAAAAGCAGUAGGUUUUUUUAUUGAAAAUCGGGUUGGGUCGGGUCGGGCCAAAAAAUCUUAUUCGAGGCUCGACCCGUUUUUCAAAUGGACUUUUUUUUUGUCCAAGUCUAUUUUCUGAGCCUAUAUUUUUUUUCUAAGUCCUCUCAUUUUUCGAGCGGACCUGACCCAGCCCAUAUACAACUCUAAUUCUUACCAUUUAUAUAAUAAAUGAGAUCUAAAUCCAAAUUUUCAAAUUCUGAAUUUCCAGAAGGAGGAUAAAUAUUUUAUUUGGAAUACUCCUCAACCAUCAAAAGCCCUAAAGAAAAUUCUAUCUUACAAUAUUUUCUAAAUUUUUCCUUCCAAGUUUCUUCAAUGUUACAUCAAUAGCAAGAGGAAGGCAAAAAACAAAGUUCAAGUCUUUCAAACUCUUCUAAAAUAGCAUCUUCAAGAUCUCCUGUAUCGAAAAGGCAAUUAUAGGGAGCCUCAACAAGUAAUGUUCUUGAAGUUGUUGAAAACCCAAUUGAUCCUCCACUAAUUAAAAUUGAACCUACUACUUGUCUAAAGGUAUUUGUUGCUAUGAAUCCUCAAAAACCUCUAGUACAUGACUUUUUUAUUAUUAUCUGAUUUAUUGUUCUACUUCUAAAAAACCAUGAUUGAAGAUUGAAAUCUCUUGGACACAAAGCAACAACAACUAAAGCAGUAGAAGAAGCCUUUGAGCACGUGCACACACACAAAAAAGAAAAACAACUGAUUAAGGAAAGACUUAUUCCAUUUCUAAUGAUAAUGUCCCAUUAUCAGACUUUGUGUCUAAUUAAACUGCCACGUAUAUAUAUAUAAAUUGAAAAGAGUAGGUGUUACUAAGUUAUUAAAAGAAUGUAGAUUGUACUUCUGAACUAAAGAAGUCAAAGUUCCUAAAUGUUAUUUGUACAAAAAAGAAUGAAAAUAAUGGUUGAUACACAUAUUAUAUGUUUAAAGCAAAUUAAUUUUUAUUAAUUUUUAAACUUUAUAUAAUUUAUAAAAAUCAUCUUGAAUUAAUAUGGACAAUGGGUUUUCUAGAUUUACAUUGUACAGGACAAAAAAAAAAUUUCAAAUUCAUUUUGGACUUCACUUCUAAAUGGGCUUUUAUUAAUUUUUAAUUUCUUUUUAAUUUCAUUUAAUAUUUUUUAUAAAUUUUAAUAAUAUUUUAUAUAUUUAUAAAAUUUUUAAAACAUUAAAACUUUAUAAAAAAAUUUAUAAUUUUUUUUUCUUAAAAUAAGCUUUGGAAUGAAUGAAUAUAGACAAUUGUAUGUCCAAAGUUAUUCUAGUAAAAAAUUUAAGUAUUCCUUUUAAUUUUUUAUUUUAUGAAAAUUGUAUUUUGCUGACAUGGCACAAUCUAAAAAUUCCAUACGUCUAGCACUUAACACCAUUACAAAAAUGAUACUAAAAUGGAAUGAAAAUUCGACACUAACUUACGAAAAAAUCAUAAAUACCAAUUUAAGAGAAAGUGACAAAUUCAAGAACUAAAUGAGUAUUUAAACUUAUUUAUAUUUAAAUCAAUUUAGACAUGCAUUAAAUUUCUAAUUGUGUUUAAAUGAUAAGAAAUGAAAAAGAAGAUAUAAAAUUUUGAUCGAAAAAUAAACAUAAAAUAAAAAUCACUUACAAUUAUAAAUAAAACCAUUGAUAAAUGUAUUAUGUUAAAUUCCAGGAUAGAUGAAAUAACAGAAAUGAGGUUGAAGCAUCAUUGAGCUCUCAUACAUUGAAUCCUUGAUCACGACGCUUGUGCCUCACCCCAAGGCCUGACGCGCGUCUGUCGCCUUGCACCAAAAGAACAAAGGGCGUCUCUUCUCUCCCCUCCAUUGACUUUGCCGAUGUCUGCAAAAAAAAAAAAAAAGACAAAGAAAGAACACAGAAACGGCAAGACAAUAGCAGCAGAAACAGUAACAAAUUUGAAUAAUAAACAGUCUAAUAUGGCUAUAAAAGUCAUUACGUAUUAUUUUUUACAGGCAAUCGAAUAAAAAAAACAGAGAAAUAAAUAAAAGAGAAGAUUUCAAAAAAUAUAAAGGUAGUUAUAUAUAUAUAUAUAUAUGGUUUGAAAAGCUAUAAUAAAUACAUAAAAAAUAGAGAGAGAGGGGGAGGAUUCUCACUUGUCGUUCCACCUUUCGCCACCGUCGAGGACAACCUUCGGCACCUCAAAUGUCUCAUAACCCAUUAGGGUUUUGACUUCCGACGAAGGUCUGGAACGUGGCGCGACUGAAGGUUUUCCUUCGUGAUUCUUUUUCUUUUUUUUUAUUUCAAAAAAUAUUCGGUUGGAUCUGUUUUCUUUUAAUAACUUUUAGAAAGGGACUAAAAGUAAUUUUUUUAUUUUCCGGCCACGAAGGAGGCACAGUGGAGGCUCGCCGGCAUCCGGGCCGAAGAUGGGGAGAACCGAGAGAGAAAGAGAGAACUCUCAGGUUUUUUUUAAAAAACAAAGACAUAAUGAUUUUUUUUAAAGAUUUUUAGCUUUUAUAGGAGAUGUAAAACGACGUCAUCUAGGGCUGGUUUCAAUAGCACGAAAACGGCGCCGUGUUGGCCUUCGACCUGAUUGCCUGUUCCAAGACCUUAGGAUCCGCGUGUUUUUUGUGACUAGGGUAUAAUUGGACAUUAGUCCUUCCAAUUUUUAAGCAGUUUCCAAUGUGGUCUUGUUUCUUUUUUAAUUUAACCAUUUGAUUUUAUCUUAAUUUCAUUUUUGGUCCUUGGCCAUUUUAAGAGAGGGAUACCUGAAACAGAGUCGUUUCAGUUGACUCGAGACCCAACCUGAGAUCCGACCCGAUCCUUUAAUAGGAUCCGCGUGUUUUUAAAAAAGGGGCCUAUUUGCGCUUUCAACCUUCUUCCUUUUAAGUCAUUUUAAUUAGGUCCUAAUUUCACUAUUUUCUUUUUUAGAAAGUUUCCAUUUAAUUUUACACCGCUUUCAACUAAGUCCUCGAAUCGCUGAAGGUACGCGUGUCCUUAGGAUUGGGAUAAUUCCUCAAUUGGUCCUUGUUUGUUUUCACACUUUUCAUUUUAGUAUGUUAUUUAUUUAUUUAUUUUAUCUUAAUUCAUUCUUUUAAUUUAAUUUAAAUGACAAUUAGACCCUUUAUUUAUUUUAAUUCUUUUAAUUAUUUACUUGUUUGCUUAUUUAUUAUUCCUUCACUUUUGGUUUAUGUUUAAAAUUGUAUUUCUUAUUAUUUUCUUUUCAUCGAGCAUUUAUUUAUUUAUUCAUUUUAUUUUAUUAUUUAUUUAUUUAUUUACUUAUUAUUCCUUUGUAUACAUGCAUAAGAAUUGGAUUGUGCAUAUGCUUUUAUUGGUACAUUUUUGUUUAUUACUAUCAUUCAUUGUUUUAUUUUUAUUUUUAAGCAUGUUAUUGUUAUUUUAUUUCUCUCAGCAUUUUUAUGUCAUGUCCAUUUAUCUUUUUAAUCAUGCAUCGUCCAUUUUUUAUUUACCUUAAAAUACUUCAUUUAAUCAUUAUUACUAUAAUACGAUUAUUAAUAUUAAUAGUAUUAUUAUAAUUAUGUUAUUAUAAUAAUAUUCUUUUAUUUCACUUAUUAUUUAUUAUUCUAUCUACAUAGUUGUUUUAAAUUAUCUCAUUUUCACCAUAUCAUACAUUAAGGUUCAAACAUUUAUCCAUUUGUAUAUCAUGCCCGAAUAAAUUAAAAACACAUCACCUUAAGUGUUUGUUUUUUUACACGAUGCAUAAAAAAAGAAUUUUUUUUAAACCGAGGCAAAUGUUCAUUAUUUCGAAUUUAGAAAAGUUGUGUUCCUAACGUACAGAAUAUGACUUCCUUCUAAAACCGAGAUAGUUGAAUAUUUAUUUUAAAAUAAAUAAAAACGAGAUUUAAGUAAUGAUCAAUUGGUGUUUAUUCUCGUUUUCGAGGUUUUAAGGCAUUGUGUCCUAACACACGGGACGUGAUCCUUUUUCUCGAUUAACUUGAAAUAAGCCCUUCUUGAGAAAAUUACUUUGGUUAGAUAAUGCCUUAAUACAAAAAGGAUCGUGUUUUAAACUCUUUUCAAAUUUUCAAUUCACAACACUAAGACAUUAAUAAAUCAACUAGGUACCAAUUUUGGGUGUUACGAGGGUGCUAAUCCUUCCUCAUGCAUAACCGACUUCCGAACCCAUUUUUUGAAUCUUGUAGACAAAAAAUCAUUAUUUUAGUAAAUCAAACCAUUUAUUAAAACGAUCAAAUUACGAGGUGAUCCAAUCACACACACCUCAUAAAAAGGGAUCGGUGGAGACUCCCAUUUUCGUCUUUUUCUUAAAAUAAAAAAGGUCGAUCUCAAAAAAGGUUUCGACAAUCAUAUUAUCUCAUAAUUAGAAUCCACAAUAUUGAUUCAAGUUAAAAUGUCAAGUCACUAAACUUAUCAAAAAUUCAUAACCAUAAACAACCCUUUGUUCAAUUUCUCGUGUUCUCUCUCUCUCUCUCUCUCUCUCUCUCUCUCUCUCUCUCUCUUUCUCUCUCUAAACAAAGGAAAUGAAAUAUUUGUCUAGGGUGUUGCUAAAUUUUUUUACACGAAUAAGGAUGAUAACCUAAGCACCCCACGAAAAUAGAUGACAACCCAAACACCUAACUUCUAAGACCAGUGGAGUAAGUGAAUGGCUUAGAACAUCACUCAAUUUUUUUACACGAAAAUAGAUGACAACCCAAACACCUAACUUGUGUUACUCAAUCGAUCACAGUUUUAAGAUUAUACUUUUAAUCUAAAUAGUUAGUUGGGUAUUUGUUGAUUUUUUUAUUUUUUUUCUUUUAUUUUUCAAUUUUAUUAAAGUGCCUUUAUUUAAUGUUGUUGGCUCUACAAGGUCCAUCAUUCGUUCAAAUCAGAUUUCUAAUCCUAUUUCCUCUCACUCUUGAAGUUUCAUCAUUGGGCAUUCUCUUUUCCCUUUGUACUUGAGAGGCUUCAGUGCCUCCAUCUCAUUGACAACUUGUAACAAUAUGAUUUUAAGUGGUAUCAAAAAAUGUGGUUUCAAAAUUCUAUUUUUAUAAAUCGAGUCUGCAAAGAUGAAAUAUAAAAAUUAAUGAAAUUAGUAUAAAUAUAUAUUGAAGUUCAGUUAAGUAAUUUAAUCGAGAAAACUAUUAAUUAAAACUUAAGGAUUAAAUUGGAAAAGUUCAAUCGCUAUUGAGUUUUAAUUUAAAAAUACUUGAGGACCAAGAUAACAAUUAUUUAAAGGACAAAAAUGUUAAUAAACCAACUUUAAUCAUGAAAUAGUGGAGAAUGAUGAUUGCUUACACUUAAAUUAAUUUAUGAUUAAAAUGUGUAAGUUAAUCUCUUAAUUAACUAAAUCAAACAAGAUUAAUUAAACUAAAUUAACAUUAAUUAAAGUGUAUAUAUGUGUGUAUUUUAGCGGAAGGAAAAAUGAAAAAAACAUCCUCAUCAUCUUCCUCCACCGUCCACCAAAGUAAGUAAGAAAGAAAUGCUUCAAACCAUUCCAACAUUUGACUAUUAAUCAAGUAAGCUCCUUAAGCUAUUUUUAUUUUUAUUUUUAUGGAAUUUGAAUCAUGAGAGCUUGAUUCAAUUAGCCUGUGUAUCAAUUUAUUCAAUUUUUUAGUUUCUAGAAUUUUUCCAUUAAAAUGAAAUUGUACUUUCUAACAGACGAUUUUGAAUUCAAAUUCUGAGUUUGAAACAAGUGUUUUCGAACUUACAUUUUUCUAACAUUUGUGAGAGUUGUGUCAAAUAUUAUGCUUUUGAAACGCAUCCUAAGUGAGAUUAAGUCAAAAAAUUUUAAACAAAUUAAUAUAAUCGCUUAAAAUCUAACCAUAACAUCUAAGUCGGGUUUAAAAUGUUACAAUAAUAAUAUAAAAAUUACAUGUAAAAAUUAGCAUAUAUAUAUAUAUAUAAACAAUGACACCGUAAGUGAAAAUCUAUCUUUGAUCCUAACAAUUGUCGAAUCCACGUGAAACAUGGGAAAAAAGUAAGAUGAUGGUAGCAUAAAUGACAUCAAUGAAGUGAGGGCAUCACUUUCUAAAUUUAUAAUCUUUGGUUGCUUUUUGGUGAAAGCAAAAUCUGCACUUGACUUGGGGUCAAUAUUAUAUAUUAUCCUUUGUAAAUUAGAUAAGUAGAUGUCAUGAAAGAGACAAUAGCAAUUAUUGCUUUCUUUUUCUUUUGUGGAAAAUUUGAUCCUAAAAGCAAAGUUACUGCACUCAGUGGGUAAGGAAAUUGGGUUAACCUUACUUUCAAAUUAAUAAUUUAAAUAAGUAUGUGAAUUUGAGAUUUUAUUGUAUAAAAAAUUUAAUUUCACGUGAAACAUGUAAAAGAGAAAAAAGUAGGAUGAUGGUAGGCAUAAAUGACAUCAAUGAAGUGAGGGCAUCACUUUCUAAAUUUAUAAUCUUUGGUUGCUUUUUGGUGAAAGCAAAAUCUGCACUUGACUUGGGGUCAAUAUUAUAUAUUAUCCUUUGUAAAUUAGAUAAGUAGAUGUCAUGAAAGAGACAAUAGCAAUUAUUGCUUUCUUUUUCUUUUGUGGAAAAUUUGAUCCUAAAAGCAAAGUUACUGCACUCAGUGGGUAAGGAAAUUGGGUUAACCUUACUUUCAAAUUAAUAAUUUAAAUAAGUAUGUGAAUUUGAGAUUUUAUUGUAUAAAAAAUUUAAUUUCAUAAUUAAAAAUAUUUUAUUUAAAUAUAUAUAAAUAUAAUUAUAUUAUAUUAGUAAUUUUUAUUUUUUAAUAUUAAAAUUAAUUAUAAAUUUAUACUUUUAGAUCUAAUCGGGUCAAAAAUAAAUAUUAUUUCAUAAUUUUUACUUUUUCAUCACUAAUGUUCACUUUUACUAUUUUCAUUUAAAUAUUUUUUUAAUCCACAAAAGACUUGAAAUUGGGCUAUAAAUAGGAGUGGAGAGAGGAGAUGAACUCAACCUACUUAGCUAUACUCCAAAAUGAAGCCACUGUUUCUUUUAGUUUGUGUUCUCUUAGCUUCCUCUUUCUUUAUUCCCAUUUCCGCCAUGCCUAUCCAGGACCAGCCCUUGGGUAAGAUUCAGCAGCGAGUCUUUAUGUUUAUAUAUAGGACAUCCACAUAUAUAUAUAUAAUUAACAGUAUGCAUGGAUGGAUGGACAUAAUAUAUGAUUGUUGCAGGUGGUGAACGCAAAGGAAAUGAAUGUGGUCGUGGAAUCAAAUGCAUACCAAAGCCAACGCCACGGCCUACUAAGUGUAAAAGAAACAAUCCUUACUGCAGGCCUCCCUGAAUGUGGUAAAAAAUAAAGCUAUGGGCCUAUGGACGAUAUGGAUAUGGGUGAAGUUAUGCUAGUAAUAAAUUAACAAAUAAACAAAGUUUCCCCCCAUGCUUCAUGACCCAUGGCAAUUACCAAUGAAGUUCUUGUAAUGAUCAUAUCAUUACUUUCAUGACUACUAGUUUGUAUGUGUUAUGUUUAUGUUUAAUAAAUUAUGGAGUGUUUUUAUGUUGAAAAAUAUCAAGUACUACUUUGAUUGUGAUAGGUUUAUAUGUUUAUGUUUGAGGAAAUUAUUUCAAAAAUGAAAAUCACAUAAACCAUGAUUUGUACUCCGUUUCAAUUAUUGAUGUUGUAGAAACAAAUAACUUGGUCUGCAGUUGCUCAAAACAGU